RNAcentral lists this microRNA precursor (211 nucleotides) under Ectocarpus siliculosus. RNAcentral's name for it is "MIR8622 microRNA precursor family". It matches the Rfam family "MIR8622 microRNA precursor family". The record is from Rfam by way of RNAcentral. Lineage: Eukaryota; Phaeophyceae; Ectocarpales; Ectocarpaceae.
CCGAAAUCUGCGCCGGAAUCAAGCGGCAUCCAACAUUUGUCACAGCCGUGCACACCGCCACGGACCCCAAUCUCUUCAACUGUGCGUUUACAGCAGUAGCUCAUGCCACGAGCUACUGCGGACAACCCUCCGUUGAGGAGAUUGGGGUCCGUGGCGGUGUGCACGGCUGUGACAAAUGUUGGAUGCCGCUUGAUUCCGGCGCAGAUUUCGG